Molecule: long non-coding RNA, 2567 nt
Organism: Hevea brasiliensis (rubber tree)
Lineage: Eukaryota; Viridiplantae; Streptophyta; Magnoliopsida; Malpighiales; Euphorbiaceae
Exons: 6
Source: RefSeq, a predicted model, not a curated record
UCCUCAAAAAGAUGGGCAGUCAGAGAGAGUAAUCCAAAUACUAGAGGACAUGUUAAGAAGUUGUGUUAUGGAAUUUGAAGGAAUUUGGGAUAGGUAUCUCCUAUUAGCAAAAUUUGCAUAUAACAAUAGUUAUUAGGCCAGUAUCAAGAUGUUCCCUUAUGAAGCACUGUAUGGGAGGAAAUGCAGGAGACCCUUAUGUUAGACAAAAUUGGGUAAAGAUAAGAUGGUAGGGCCAGAUUUCGUGAGAUAGACUGAGGAGAAGAUAAAAGUGAUCAGAGCUAGUUCGAAAGCUGCCUCAGAUAGACAGAAGUCAUAUGCAGAUCUAAAAAGAAAGGAUAUAGAAUAUGAAGUUGGUGAUAAAGUUUUCCUCAAGGUGUUACCAUGGAAGAAAGUGUUGAGAUUUGGGAAGAAGGGUAAGUUAAGCCCUAGGUUUAUCAGUCCAUACAAAAUCAUUGAACGUGUAGGUCCAGUAGCCUAUAGGCUAGCUUUACCACCAGAGCUGGACAAGAUUCAUAAUGUAUUCCAUAUCUCAAUGCUGAGGAGAUACAGAUUAGAUCCAUCACAUGCCAUAUCAGUAAAGGAGAUUGUUGUGCAGCCAGAUCUGACAUAUGAGGAAGAACCAGUAAGAAUAUUAGCUCGAGAGAUCAAGGAAUUGAGGAACAAGCAUAUUCCAUUGGUGAAGGUGCUCUGGAGACACCAUAACAUGGAGGAAGCUACUUGGGAAAGGGAAGAAAUAAUGAGGCAACAGCAUCCUCAACUGUUUACAUCAGCUGAAAAAGACCUGGAAAAGGAUAGGGGAAACUGAGUCAAGGCCUAGAGGCGACUCGCAUCAGAUGGGGAAAAGGACAUAGCAACAGAGUGAGCUGCUACAGUAAUAGGAGAGCACAACUUGAAGAUUUUUGUACGGGAAGUAGAAAUUCUGGAAAACGGAAUGGAAGAGGGAGGUCAUUCCGUAGAAUAAUCUGUCGAGGCUGAGGCCCAAGGAGAAGCCCCAGCACUCCAGAAUGUGAGUGGGUCAGCCACUCCAGCUCCUCCUCAAGCACCGUAGUUUCCUACUCAGUUUACACAGCAGAUGGCUGCGUUGUUUCAACAAAUGGCGAGAAACUUGCCAACACAAGCCCCAACAGCACAACCACAACCCCCAGCAAUACAAUAUGAGAAGUUAAUGAAAUUUGGGGCUACAGAAUUCAAAGGAACAGUAGAUCCACUGGAAGCAGAACAGUGGUUAGAGAGGAUGGAACGGGUUUUUAGAAAUCUAUAGUGUGCUGAAGAGUUAAAGUUCGAAUAUUCAGUAUCACUUCUCCAAGAGGAUGCAUAUGAAUGGUGGAAAGCCACCCCCCAUAGCCUGGUAGAGCCACUAGUUCUCACUUGGACAGACUUUUUGAGAGAAUUCAGACAGAAAUGGUUCCUCGAUCCUUAUAUAGACAUGAAGCUGCAAGAGUUUUUAAGUUUGAAGCAAGGGGACAGAACUGUAGCAGAGUAUGAGCAGGAUUUCUCUCUAUUAAGCCACUAUGCAGGAAGCCUGGUCACCACCCCUAGAGAUCGGUGUAAAAGGUUUGAGGUUGGGUUGAGGCCUACUUUGAGAAUGCAAGUGGUGGGGCUUCGACACCAGAAUUUUUCUGAAUUGAUUUCACAGGCCUUGGAGCUGGAAAGGAUAGAAUCAGAAGGGGCAGUGAAGAAGAGUACACAAGAGAAAGAGAAAACUAAAAAGGUUAAUGGCCAAGCUACUGAGAGUGGUUCUGGGAAAAGAAAACAUUUUGGAGGAUCUAGCUCAUGUGAAUCGGGUAGAGGUAGAUCUUCUAGACAGAAACUACCCCAAUUUGAUCAGCAAACUCAGUAGACGCACAGAAAUACUUUGUCGGAUCGACUUUGUGAAACUUGUGAUAAACCACAUAGUGGAGUAUGUUGUAGAGCUAUAGGGGCAUGUUUUAAUUAUGGAGGGACUGGUCAUUUUGCUAAGGAUUGCGUAAGUCUACGCCGUUAUGGAUCAUUUACCACGUCAGAAGGAUCAACCUAAGUUUUUACACCAAAGAGUUCACCAGUAAUUGGUAGAGACAGAUGUACAGGUAGGGGUAGUACACUUGGAAGUCAAAGUACUGUGAAUCAGCCAGGACAAGGUGAUACUCCAGCUAGAGUAUACACUAUGCGACAGAGGGACGAGGAUGAGAUUUCUGACAUUGUUGCUACUGAAAAAGACCUAGAAAAGGAUAGGGCAAACUGAGUCAAGGCCUAGAAGCGACUCACAUCAGCGAUAGCUUCUUUUGCUAUCGCAGAUAGGAAAAAGGAUAUAGCAGCAAAGUGAGCUGCUACAGUAAUAGGUGAGCACAACUUGAAGAUUUUUGUAUGGGUAUAUUAUUUAUACCCAUUGUGUUUUGGUUGAUGUAAAUAUGGUAUUGUCAUAUGUAUGUAUGUAAAAUUGAGCAGCUGUACAGUAAAUUAUAAUAAUAUUACCUUUUGGAUUUUUAUGCCUAUAAAUUAAAUUGUGAUUGUAAAUUAUUUAUUUUAAAUGCUAUGUGUAUAAAUUAAUUUGAAAUAUUUGGGAUGACAAUUUUGUUUUGAAUUGUGCA